CUGGGGCGGGUCGCCGGGGUGGGCGCGGCGUUCGUGGCGCUGCCGGCGUACGCGCUCAUGCAGAUCGGGCUGUUCGGGCUGUUCGGCUCGGCC
Molecule: transfer RNA, 93 nt
Filed under: Actinoplanes nipponensis
Lineage: Bacteria; Bacillati; Actinomycetota; Actinomycetes; Micromonosporales; Micromonosporaceae
Description: tRNA-Thr
Source: RNAcentral